Molecule: RNA transcript, 1076 nt
Organism: Harmonia axyridis
Lineage: Eukaryota; Metazoa; Arthropoda; Insecta; Coleoptera; Coccinellidae
Gene name: serine/arginine-rich splicing factor 7-like
Exons: 5
Source: RefSeq, a predicted model, not a curated record
CGCAAACUCGAGGGGGCCGGCAAUUUGUUCUGAUUAGAAUCGUUCCUUUGGCUUGUUGGUGUUUUCCCGGAUUUGACGUAUUUUCCUAGAAAGGGACAAUUUCUGAGUAUUCCUCCUGGUGUCCCUUUCAUCAUAAAUUUAAACCCUUGUUGGGUUGGCUGCUGAAGCGAUCGAGGGUAGCAAAAUGUCGAGAUACAACUUAGAUUGUAAAGUUUAUGUUGGUGAUUUGGGUAACAAUGCAUCUAAACAAGAAUUGGAAGAUGCAUUCGGAUAUUAUGGACCUUUACGAAAUGUAUGGGUAGCCAGGAAUCCACCUGGUUUUGCAUUCGUCGAAUUUGAGGAUGCAAGGGACGCGGAAGAUGCAGUGAGAGGUUUAGAUGGUAGAACCAUCUGUGGUAGGCGUGCUAGGGUAGAACUCUCUAGUGGUAAGAGUGGGGGUAGGUAUAGAGGACCUCCACCACGUUCUAGCAGAGGCCGCCCUUUUCACCCUGACGAUCGAUGUUAUGGUUGUGGUGAUAGGGGACACUAUGCUCGAGAUUGUACAAGACAAAAAAGGGGAGGUGGUAGCAGCAGACGAAGGUAUAGUCUUUGGCCGAUAGUCAGGUAAAGCAUAGUUCAGUUCAGACAAUCGUCUUGCCUCUCUCCACGACUUCUCAGUGUGCAGCCUCAUAGAAUAACAUCGAUAGCAAUGUCUCCACGCGACUCUACUGCAAUACUGCAAUUAUCCUUAUGAGAGACUUCUGAGUAUCGAGCCAAUGAAAACGAAAUAUCUACGAGAACUCUCGAGUCUAGCCCCUUCUACCUACUUGAUUGAUUAUCACUACCUCCUCCUACAAUGUUUUCUACAGUUAGCGUCACGACAUGAUCACGAAUAAUGGUCUAGGUCUAGAUCAAGAAGUCGCGGACGCUAUAGGAGAUCUCGUUCCAGGAGCACCAAGUCCAGAAGCCGUUCAAGGAACCGUUCUAGGUCCCGUUCUCAGUCGGCCAAAAGGAGCCGUAGUCGUUCUCCAACUAAUGACAAGCGUUCGAGAACCAGAACAAGGUCUAGGAGUCGCUCAGCUCCUAAGCAAAAUGGC